UGGGGAAUUUUGCACAAUGGGGGAAACCCUGAUGCAGCGACGCUGCGUGAUUUAGAAGGCCUUCGGGUUGUAAAAAUCUUUUCUAUGGGAAGAAAAUGACAGUACCAUAGGAAUAAGGACCGGCUAAUUACGUGCCAGCAGCCGCGGUAAUACGUAAGGUCCGAGCGUUGUCCGGAAUCAUUGGGCGUAAAGGGUACGUAGGCGGGUAAGCAAGUUAGAAGUGAAAUCCUGUAGCUCAACUACAGUAAGCUUUUAAAACUGCUCAUCUUGAGAUAAGGAAGGGGAAGUGGAACUCCGUGGGUAGCGGGGAAAUGCGCAGGUAUUAGGAAGAAUACCGGGGGCGAAGGACACCUUGUGGCCAUAAUCUGACGCAGAGGUACGAAAGCGUGGGUAGCAAACAGG
This 402-nucleotide ribosomal RNA is filed under the name Bacteroidota bacterium. RNAcentral's name for it is "Bacteroidetes bacterium partial 16S ribosomal RNA". It matches the Rfam family "Bacterial small subunit ribosomal RNA", at positions 355 to 776 of the family's 1533-position model. Lineage: Bacteria; Pseudomonadati; Bacteroidota. The record is from RNAcentral.